Molecule: ribosomal RNA, 850 nt
Filed under: uncultured Acinetobacter sp.
Lineage: Bacteria; Pseudomonadati; Pseudomonadota; Gammaproteobacteria; Moraxellales; Moraxellaceae
Description: bacterial SSU rRNA
Rfam family: Bacterial small subunit ribosomal RNA
Source: RNAcentral
CGCUGGCGGAGGCUUACACUGCAGUUUAAGCGGGGAAGGGUAGCUUGCCCCCUAACCUACGGCGGACGGGUGAGUCAUGCUUAGGAAUCUGCCUAUUAGUGGGGGACAACGUUUCGAAAGGAACGCUAAUACCGCAUACGUCCUACGGGAGAAAGCAGGGGAUCAUAUUGACCUUGUGCUAAUAGAUGAGCCUAAGUCGGAUUAGCUAGUUGGUGGGGUAAAGGCCUACCAAGGCGACGAUCUGUAGCGGGUCUGAGAGGAUGAUCCGCCACACUGGGACUGAGACACGGCCCAGACUCCUACGGGAGGCAGCAGUGGGGAAUAUUGGACAAUGGGCGCAAGCCUGAUCCAGCCAUGCCGCGUGUGUGAAGAAGGCCUUAUGGUUGUAAAGCACUUUAAGCGAGGAGGAGGAGCUUCAGGUUAAUACCCUGGAUGCUUGGACGUUACUCGCAGAAUAAGCACCGGCUAACUCUGUGCCAGCAGCCGCGGUAAUACAGAGGGUGCAAGCGUUAAUCGGAUUUACUGGGCGUAAAGCGUGCGUAGGCGGCUAAUUAAGUCAAAUGUGAAAUCCCCGAGCUUAACUUGGGAAUUGCAUUCGAUACUGGUUAGCUACGCAGUAUGGGACGACGAUGGUAGAAAUUCCAGGUUGUAGACGGUGAAAAUGCCGUUAGAAGAUCUGGACAGGCAAAUACCGAUUGCCGCAAAGGGCGGACCAUCUUGGGCCUAAUAACUGGACGCUGAGGUACCGAAAAGCUUGCGGGACGCAACCCGGGAUUUAGAUACCCGUUAUAUCACCUGCGCGAAACAAUUUUAUAGCCCGUGGGGUCUCUGGACGACCUUGUGGGCCCAU